GGUUGGGUUUUUUGACCUUCGGUUGAUUUACAUGAGACCAAGCCUGCUGACAACAGACAGGAAUAGCUUUUUCCAUCAGCAGAAAAGGGUUUUAGGAUGGGAGUUGGCAGGGUUCAUUGAGAGAGCUUUAAAUUAGUGCAGGAGUCCUAGAGUUUGCUAACAGCCAGUGAAAGAGCAAAUGUGUUACUGCCUGCAUGUAUCUCUAUACAAAUAUUAGUAUCAAAAUUAGAUAUCAAACUGCUGUUUUCAAACUGUAUUCUCUUACUCCUUCAUCUUUAAUAAAGCCAUAAUCACGAAUGUAGUAAGCUUGCACUUAGUUCUCAAAUACCUUGAAAUGUAAAGCUUGAAGAAGGAUUCUUCAAGAAUCAUUGUUUAAGUGGUUCUUCCCAUAAAGCGCUCUUCUACACCCUCACUAUUUUUUAUUUCUAACCUGUUCUCUUCUGAAGUAAAAAUAUUUUAAGAUACUGCUUUCAGAAAUAUCUUGGGUACAGAGUAAUCUGACUGCCAGUGAAAGUGCAAAAAAUUUACAGUCUCUUUUGAAAUCAAAGCUUGUACCAUGUGGUUUAUUUUGAAAAUGUUACCAGUUGUUGUACAGUGCUGUGAUCAGCAGAGGUCAAUAUCAAGACCACAUUGGUUUCAUUUGGUCUUUGUUUAUAAUAUUAAUGAACCAUUGAUCACAGCCCCUUCUUUCAUUACAUGACUCUCUUUGCAUAAAAUACUGUCCUGAGUACAGAUAAUACAGACUAUGCCAUCUAGGUUGACUAGUCAGUGGAAGCUUUGGCCCCUAUUCCAUCCUUUAAUACAUUGAAAUGUGGGUUGUUAGUCCUAUCAACCAUUGAAAAACAAAGCUGGAACACCAUCAUGACUAGAUUAACUCUUACACCCUCUGAGUUAUAUGGGGAAUUAAAAAAAUGUGUACUCCCCAUUUUCACCUGCUGCUUAUACUGCUUCAUCCCCCGAGAACAUGAGUAAUAGAAAUGGAAGCCUUUGUUCCUGUCUUAGAGGGAGCAGCUGUGGAAAGACAGAAGAUGAAAGCUCCCAUUCCAAAUUUGAUUCUCUUGUAUGCUACUCUAACUCAGAGCUUGAAGGUUGUGACCAAAAGAGGAUCAGGUAAGUAAAUCUUUAUCUCUGUGGUUAUGAUAUAUGUUUUGGGAAAAAAAAAAUCCUUAAAAUUUACAAAUAUACACUAAGAUGUUGUUAUGAUGGUUUGAAAUAUAGUUAAAAGGAUUUCAAAUUCUGCGUCAAAAAAAGUUGGUAGCUUCUACAUAUUUUUAGACUAUAUUGUGUGGUGUGAACUUGAUGGAAAAAGGAAAAUGUUAAAUACUUCAGAUAUGUAAUGCAAAAACAAUAUAAAUGUUCAUCUGUUAAAGGAGAAUGUCUUUUUCCCCAUUUUAUCCCCAGGAAUUAAAAGACUUUUAGCUUACUUAAAAGACCUUGUUGCAGCCAGGGUCUUUAACAUAAGCUAAUGGAUUUAUCUGUUUGACUAUAUAUUUUAUGGUGAAGAAUCUCUUGGUUAUGCAGUUCAUGCAGUUUUCAUUUAGGCUACUGAUUUUUGUAAUACAAAAAAUAUAUCACAUAUUUUUUUCAUGGUUUUAAUAACCAUGGAAAGUGAGCAGGAAAAUAGAUUUUUAAAAGGACUACCUGAUAUGUGGUUGAAGAGCAAAUGAUUGAUAGUUGAUGCAGCAAACAUAGGUGUUUUUUUCAGAAACCUAGCAGAGGUGGUAUGUUUGCCCAUCAUCUUUCAUAAUGUUAUUGUAGAUUACUUAUCUUCAUAUAUAAAUAAAGGGAACUUCAUUACUAAGACA
Anser cygnoides (Swan goose) is the source of this 1805-nucleotide long non-coding RNA. The record is from Ensembl. Lineage: Eukaryota; Metazoa; Chordata; Aves; Anseriformes; Anatidae.